GAUAAACGCUGGCGGCGUGCCUAACCCAUGCAAGUCGAGCGAUUUGUAGCAAUACAAAGAGCGGCGAAAGGGUGAGUAACACGUGGAAAUCUGCCUCGUCGGAGGGAAUAACCCCGCGAAAGUGGGGCUAAUACCCAAAAGCAUCCGCAAGGAUGAGAGUCGAAAGGCCUGACGAGAGGAAUUCGCGUCCCAUCAGCUAGUUGGUGAGGUAAGGGCUUACCAAGGCUACGACGGGUAGGGGGUCUGAGAGGACGUCCCCCCACACUGGAACUGAAACACGGUCCAGACGCCUACGGGUGGCAGCAGGGAGGAAUAUUGGACAAUGGGGGAAACCCCGAUCCAGCAACGCCGCGUGAGGGAUGAAGGCCUUCGGGUCGUAAACCUCUUUUAAGGGAGACGAG
Molecule: ribosomal RNA, 401 nt
Filed under: uncultured bacterium
Lineage: Bacteria
Description: bacterial SSU rRNA
Rfam family: Bacterial small subunit ribosomal RNA
Source: RNAcentral